RNAcentral lists this ribosomal RNA (388 nucleotides) under uncultured bacterium. RNAcentral's name for it is "bacterial SSU rRNA". It matches the Rfam family "Bacterial small subunit ribosomal RNA", at positions 30 to 417 of the family's 1533-position model. The record is from RNAcentral.
AUUGAACGCUGGCGGCAUGCCUUACACAUGCAAGUCGAACGGCAGCACGGGAGCAAUCCUGGUGGCGAGUGGCGAACGGGUGAGUAAUGUAUCGGAACGUACCUUUCAGUGGGGGAUAACGUAGCGAAAGUUACGCUAAUACCGCAUAUUCUGUGAGCAGGAAAGCAGGGGAUCGCAAGACCUUGCGCUGAUUGAGCGGCCGAUAUCAGAUUAGCUAGUUGGUGAGGUAAAGGCUCACCAAGGCGACGAUCUGUAGCGGGUCUGAGAGGAUGAUCCGCCACACUGGAACUGAGACACGGUCCAGACUCCUACGGGAGGCAGCAGUGGGGAAUUUUGGACAAUGGGCGCAAGCCUGAUCCAGCCGAUGCCGCGUGAGUGAAGAAGGCCU